UUUCCCCAUGCACAUACAAUGACUAGCCUCCUGAUCCAUUCAUUGGCCUAAGUUUGAUGCCACAUUGAUUCCAUCCACAAACUACUAACUGAUUUCUGCUGUCUUGAUGAUAUUAGAGUGUUUCAUCAACUAUUAAGUUAAUCCUCAAGUCAGACUUAACCCCGGAGACACCUGACCCUUAAUUUUUUUUUCCAGUUGCACAAACUUGCCAUUUCAUUCUGGAUAUGCAAAAUGAAUACAAUGUUGGAGGAGGAAGAAAACUUGGAAGAAAAUGAUAGGUGAGUAACAACAAUGAUUAAAGAGC
This 304-nucleotide long non-coding RNA is filed under the name Sus scrofa (pig). RNAcentral describes it as "lncRNA (ENSSSCG00070030379.1)". The record is from RNAcentral. Lineage: Eukaryota; Metazoa; Chordata; Mammalia; Artiodactyla; Suidae.